Molecule: transfer RNA, 64 nt
Filed under: Notocrater youngi
Lineage: Eukaryota; Metazoa; Mollusca; Gastropoda; Lepetellida; Pseudococculinidae
Description: tRNA-Arg
Source: RNAcentral
UAGUGGGAUGUGAUUACACACCUGGUUUCGGCCCAGCUUUUGGCUUAUAUGUGGCCCCCACUAU